RNAcentral lists this long non-coding RNA (776 nucleotides) under Brassica napus (rape). RNAcentral describes it as "long non-coding RNA (BNAP_LNC002439)". Lineage: Eukaryota; Viridiplantae; Streptophyta; Magnoliopsida; Brassicales; Brassicaceae. The record is from RNAcentral.
UAGCACAAGAUGACAUUAUAAUAUGAGUGGUUCUUUUUUUUUUUUUUUUUUUGAAACAAUUUUAAGGGGUAAUAUGAGUGGUUCUAUAUUUAUACUUGUGUGUAGAAAACAAAAGCAUCACAGCUUUUUGUAAGGGUUUUUAAAAAGUCAAAUUAAUAGGACAGUUUCGAACUUUACUGUAUUUUUGACUUUUCACUUAUUUUCUUUGGUUGUCUGAAAAAGACGCACUUCAGUGCGAAAGCCAAGGCUCAAGGUGUACCGUUGUCCGUUGAGCGUGUGUGUUUGUUGUCUUUUUUGUUGAGUUGUGAAUUUUAACUAUAUGUGCUGUGUAUUUUGGGUUUUAGUUAAGUUUGGGAGGGGGGUGUCGAGUCAAGAACGAACCGCGCGGGUGGCGAAGUCCAACUCCUUUGUCACCGUGGUUGGGACCAUGUUAGGUUUGGUCUGAUCACGGUGGAGGAGUUGGUGGUUCGGGUAUUGACUGGGGUUGGAAACCCCCUUUGUUAUCCUUUUGGGUGUCAUUAUUAUUAUUAUAUAAAAAAUUGUAGUAAAACUCAUGUAUCGAGAGUGAGCCACACGCACCGUCAGAUGCUGUGGUUUGCUAACGCGGGCUGGGAUAUUAUGAGCAGUAUGUGGUUGGACUUUGGAUGGAUCUGGUCCGUUUAUGUGUCCCUCGUGGUGUGCAUUAAGAAAGUGCAUUAAAUGUGUUUGCAGGCUAAUAUUAAUUCAUUUAAUGCUAUUUUUUCUCUUCUGCCCGUGCGUGGCUCCUUGCUUUUUUU